This 433-nucleotide ribosomal RNA is filed under the name uncultured bacterium. Its description in RNAcentral is "partial 16S ribosomal RNA". It matches the Rfam family "Bacterial small subunit ribosomal RNA", at positions 29 to 507 of the family's 1533-position model. The record is from RNAcentral.
AGCGAACGCUGGCGGCAGGCCUAACACAUGCGAGUCGAACGAACUCUUCGGGGUUAGUGGCGGACGGGUGAGUAACACGUGGGAACGUGCCCUUAGGUUCGGAAUAACUCAGGGAAAGGGGUGCUAAUACCGAAUGAGGUCUUCGGGGGAAAGAUUUAUCGCCUUUGGAGGGGCCCGCGUCGGAUUAGCUAGUUGGUGAGGUAAAGGCUCACCAAGGCGACGAUCAGUAGCUGGUCUGAGAGGAUGAUCAGCCACAUUGGGACUGAGACACGGCCCAAACUCCCACGGGAGGCAGCAGUGGGGAAUCUUGCGCAAUGGGCGAAAGCCUGACGCAGCCAUGCCGCGUGAAUGAUGAAGGUCUUAGGAUUGUAAAAUUCUUUUACCCGGGACGAUAAUGACGGUACCCGGAGAAUAAGCCCCGGCUAACUUCGUG